RNAcentral lists this ribosomal RNA (332 nucleotides) under uncultured bacterium. RNAcentral's name for it is "bacterial SSU rRNA". It matches the Rfam family "Bacterial small subunit ribosomal RNA", at positions 28 to 355 of the family's 1533-position model. The record is from RNAcentral.
GGCGAACGUUUGCGGCGGGCUUAACACAUGCAAGUCGAACGGGCUGUUCCUUCGGGGGCAGUCAGUGGCGCACGGGUGCGUAACACGUAGGUAAUCAACCCUCUGGUUGGGGAUAACACUUCGAAAGGAGUGCUAAUACCCGGUAUGGCGCAGCGGUCUUCGGAUCGCGGCGAGAAAGACCCGCAAGGGUUGCCAGAGGACGAGCCUGCGGCCCAUCAGCUAGUUGGCGAGGUAACGGCUCACCAAGGCGAAGAACGGGUAGGCUGGUCUGAGAGGAUGAUCAGCCACACUGGAACUGAGACACGGUCCAGACUCCUACGGGAGGCAGCAGU